This 253-nucleotide ribosomal RNA is filed under the name uncultured bacterium. RNAcentral's name for it is "partial 16S ribosomal RNA". It matches the Rfam family "Bacterial small subunit ribosomal RNA", at positions 524 to 776 of the family's 1533-position model. The record is from RNAcentral.
GACAGAGGGUGCAAACGUUGUUCGGAAUUACUGGGCGUAAAGCGCGUGUAGGCGGCUGGGCAAGUCGGAUGUGAAAGCCCUGGGCUCAACCCAGGAAGUGCACUCGAAACUGCCGAGCUGGAGUCCCGGAGAGGAAGGCGGAAUUCUCGGUGUAGAGGUGAAAUUCGUAGAUAUCGAGAGGAACACUUGUGGCGAAGGCGGCCUUCUGGACGGCGACUGACGCUGAGACGCGAAAGCGUGGGGAGCAAACAGG